Molecule: RNA transcript, 2604 nt
Organism: Mangifera indica (mango)
Lineage: Eukaryota; Viridiplantae; Streptophyta; Magnoliopsida; Sapindales; Anacardiaceae
Gene name: mRNA-decapping enzyme subunit 2-like
Exons: 10
Source: RefSeq, a predicted model, not a curated record
AAAAUACAAAAUUAUAAGAAAUGGGAGAGAGAAGGGGCUCUCGAAGUUAAAAGCAUCGUUGCGCUGCUUCCUCUUGCUCCCAGAUCUUCAUUUCACAGAAACGCGCCUUCUCUGCCCUCUUCACCCUCCAAAAUUUUCAAAUUUCAAAGCAAAUAACAGAAACAUACAGACAAAAAUAGCAAAAUCCCUUAGCGUUUAUUUUCGAUUUUAAGGUGUUUCUUCCUGUAGGCGAUGCCAGGUCUCCAUCGAUCCUCCAGCGCCUCGUAUAAGAACGGCGGCCUUCCUCCUCAAGAACUUCUCGACGAUCUCUGCAGCCGUUUUGUCUUAAAUGUGCCAAAGGAAGAUCAACAAUCAUUUGAGAGGAUUUUGUUUCUCGUGGAGUAUGCUCAUUGGUUCUAUGAGGAUAAUUCAGUAGAAAAUAAUCCAUCGCUGAAGUCAUUUACUUUGAAGGAAUUCACUUCAUUACUUUUUAACAGUUGUGAUGUAUUUAGACCUUAUGUUGCUCACAUAGAUGACAUAUUCAAGGAUUUCACUUCAUACAAGGUUCGAGUUCCAGUAACUGGGGCAAUCAUUCUAGAUGAAACCUAUGAACGGUGCAUACUAGUGAAGGGAUGGAAAGGAUCAAGCUGGAGUUUUCCACGUGGAAAGAAAAACAAAGAUGAGGAAGAUCAUACAUGUGCUGUCCGCGAAGUCCUGGAGGAAACAGGUUUUGAUGUAUCAAUGCUUCUUAAUAAAGAUGAUUACAUUGAAGUGAUAUUUGGACAGCAGAGGGUGCGGCUCUACAUAAUUGCUGGUGUCAAAGAUAAUGCUGCCUUUGCCCCUCAAACAAAAAAGGAGAUCAGUGAAAUUGCAUGGCACCGACUUGAUGACCUUCAGCCUGCAAGUGCAGAUGUGAUAUCCCAUGGGAUCACUGGUCUGAAGCUUUACAUGGUGGCUCCUUUUUUGAUAUCUUUGAAAGAAUGGAUUUCAGCACAUAAGCCCCCAAUUUCUCCAAAUCCUGAUAUGCCUCGUAAAGGGAUGUGUGUGUGGAAAGCAAAGAGCAGUUCAAAUGGGAGUAACACAAUUAUUCUGGAGAAUCAAUCAACCAAACCUUCACCUCAUUCUCAGCCUCUUGACACGGGCCCGGGCAAAAGCUUCAGGAACUUUAGAUUCGAUACUGCUGCUAUCUUGCAAGCAAUGGAAGCUGGUUUCUCAACUUAAAGGUCAAACUUGGUUUUGUCUUUGUAAAUUUCAAGUUCAUGUAGCUGCUUUGGUUUCUUCUGUUCCAGCUGUAUUACCGAAAAGUGUUGACCAUCUUUCAUGGAGAAUUGGUGGCUGUACCAGCUGUAUAUGUUUGUCAGAUUAUCAGGUUUGGUUAACAGGUAAAGCAAAAUCUUAUCCAGUCAACUGAUCAUGACUGGAGCUAGAUGAAUAUGCUGUGAUGUUCAAAAUCUUACCCAGGUAAAGCAAAAUCUUUGCAUUGACUAUUCAUCAUCAUCUGGGAGAGAGAGGUAUGGAGGUUGACUAGCUCUAAUCACCGAAGGAGUAGCAAGGGAAAACUACUGAUCCUAAGGGGGAAUAUUUGUUUUUCAAACUUUAGGUCCGUGACAGAGUGCAAGAAGGAACGAACGCCGGAGCUUGGCCUCAUCUCUCGAACUCGAGUUGCAUAAUUAACAAUAUUCUCCGGAAAUUCAAUAAUGUCUGCGCAACGAUCAGAUUUCGGGACGAGAACGACAGUGCGGAAGGUAGCACUCAAAUCUGAGUAGUGAGAUGGUGGGAGCAUACAAACAAGGUCAGAAGUAUGGUGCCAGUUCUCAACUUUCUACGUCCACCACGGGGAUCCAGCUUCAAUACCAGUGUCCACAGACUUCAAUGGAAAGCCGAGCUCUUUAAGAGUUGGGAUGUACGAUUGGUAUUCGGUUAGGCAAUAAUUAGCCUUUGAGCGGCAUUCAUUCUGUGUGCCUUCUGGAUAAGUAAGCGCAAGAACAAAAUCGGUUGCGAGACUCUGCGUCUCAAAUGUACCAACAUCUUGAAUUGCUAAAGCAAAAGGGAGAGGAAUCUCGACAUCUUUAGUAUAACUCGGAGCGGAGGCGUACGAGUGCCGUGUCGGCCGUCUUACUUGGGGAUACGGCGAAGCUCAGCAUAAAGUGCGGACAUACAGAUCUCCGCCGUCAGAUCGGCGAUUUCUGUUGAUUCUGCCUCGAUUUCAGCCUGGCGCCGAGUUGAAUGGGUGUAGUCACUGUAGUAUCGGAUGGGAAGGGCCUUCCUGAAACACUGAUUGAGACAACGACGAAAUUCAGCGACAUUAAUCUCAUACGUAACGAGAUCCAGUACCGUCUUGCCAAAUGGGCGCCGAUAUCCAAGUAUUUUUUGGUCCUUGAGAUAACGCAGAUACAGAGGAUUCACUUCCACUGUAACUCACUUUUGUUCUCGAGCGAAUAGCUCAGGUGGUGACCCUGCUUUAGGAGCGGUUCUAGAAGAUUUUCCUUCUCCAGACUUAUCAAAAGGUAGAGCGGAUAAAGGAGUUCCUUCCAUCGUCUUCAUUUUCUUGCAAGGCUGAAUGUUUUCAGUCGGAGUUCCCAUUGCAGCGAGCUAAAUUUUUGUUUUAAUAAAACUUCAUGUAAA